AACGAACGCUGGCGGCAUGCCUGACACAUGCAAGUCGAACGAGACCUCCGGGUCUAGUGGCGCACGGGUGCGUAACGCGUGGGUACCUGCCCUUAGGUUCGGAAUAACUCCCUGAAGGGGGUGCUAAUACCGGAUAAUGUCCUCGGACCAAAGAUUUAUCGCGUUUGGAUGGGCGCGCGUUGGAUUAGCCGGUUGGUAGGGUAAAAGCCUACCAAGGCGAGGAUCCAUAGCUGGUAUGAGAGAAUGAUCCGCGACACUGGGACUAAGACACGGCCCAGAAUCCUACGGAAGGCAGGAGAGGGGAAUAUUGGACAAUGGGGGAAAGGAUGAUCCAGCAAUGCCGCGUGAGUGAUGAAGGCCGUAGGGAUGUAAAGCUCUUUUACCCGGGGUGAUAAUGACGGUACCGGGAGAAUAAGCACCGGCUAACUCCGUG
Molecule: ribosomal RNA, 433 nt
Filed under: uncultured bacterium
Lineage: Bacteria
Description: partial 16S ribosomal RNA
Rfam family: Bacterial small subunit ribosomal RNA
Source: RNAcentral